AAGAAAGAAAAAAGAAAAAAAUACGAUGUUUUCUUAAUAUUUAAACGUAUUUAAUACUUUAGUUAUUUUUAACACGAUUGAAAAGUUGAUCCGAUAAUAUAUCAACGAUAAUCUGGUAAUUUAUCAGAACUAAGCACCCCAUGUUCUACAAGGUGUAGUGCAUAAUCAGAUGAAAUAUCGUUUACCAUAAAUAUUUCUCAUACUGAUAACCGUUCUAUUCAGAAACACUUUGUAUAUGUUCUUUCAUUACUUGUUGUAUAAACUGUGGCUGACGCAAACGGGAAAAAGCUCAGGCAGAUGGCCGUUCCUUAUCGUUCGAUGCAAAUUACAAAUUUUCCAUUAUAACUGGCAGUUUGAUUAUGAAUUGGACAAAUAUUAACUCAUGACGCGAAAAAAAUGUAUCUGAAAUAAUCGUGUGAAUAAGCAGAAGAUUUUAACU
Molecule: unclassified non-coding RNA, 439 nt
Filed under: Bombus terrestris (buff-tailed bumblebee)
Lineage: Eukaryota; Metazoa; Arthropoda; Insecta; Hymenoptera; Apidae
Description: misc RNA ENSBTSG00005032006.1
Source: RNAcentral